UUUUAUGAGAGUUUGAUCCUGGCUCAGGACGAACGCUGGCGGCGUGCCUAAUACAUGCAAGUCGAACGCUUCUUUUUCCACCGGAGCUUGCUCCACCGGAAAAAGAAGAGUGGCGAACGGGUGAGUAACACGUGGGUAACCUGCCCAUCAGAAGGGGAUAACACUUGGAAACAGGUGCUAAUACCGUAUAACAAUCAAAACCGCAUGGUUUUGAUUUGAAAGGCGCUUUCGGGUGUCGCUGAUGGAUGGACCCGCGGU
Molecule: ribosomal RNA, 258 nt
Filed under: Enterococcus faecium
Lineage: Bacteria; Bacillati; Bacillota; Bacilli; Lactobacillales; Enterococcaceae
Description: partial 16S ribosomal RNA
Rfam family: Bacterial small subunit ribosomal RNA
Source: RNAcentral